This 532-nucleotide ribosomal RNA is filed under the name uncultured Nocardioides sp. Its description in RNAcentral is "bacterial SSU rRNA". It matches the Rfam family "Bacterial small subunit ribosomal RNA", at positions 355 to 897 of the family's 1533-position model. The record is from RNAcentral. Lineage: Bacteria; Bacillati; Actinomycetota; Actinomycetes; Propionibacteriales; Nocardioidaceae.
UGGGGAAUAUUGGACAAUGGGCGGAAGCCUGAUCCAGCAACGCCGCGUGAGGGAUGACGGCCUUCGGGUUGUAAACCUCUUUCAGUAGGGACGAAGCGUGAGUGACGGUACCUACAGAAGAAGCACCGGCCAACUACGUGCCAGCAGCCGCGGUAAUACGUAGGGUGCGAGCGUUGUCCGGAAUUAUUGGGCGUAAAGGGCUCGUAGGCGGUUUGUCGCGUCGGGAGUGAAAACCCAGGGCUUAACCCUGGGCUGGCUUUCGAUACGGGCAGACUAGAGGUAUGCAGGGGAGAACGGAAUUCCUGGUGUAGCGGUGAAAUGCGCAGAUAUCAGGAGGAACACCGGUGGCGAAGGCGGUUCUCUGGGCAUUACCUGACGCUGAGGAGCGAAAGUGUGGGGAGCGAACAGGAUUAGAUACCCUGGUAGUCCACACCGUAAACGUUGGGCGCUAGGUGUGGGGUCCAUUCCACGGAUUCCGUGCCGCAGCUAACGCAUUAAGCGCCCCGCCUGGGGAGUACGGCCGCAAGGCUAA